RNAcentral lists this ribosomal RNA (513 nucleotides) under uncultured bacterium. Its description in RNAcentral is "partial 16S ribosomal RNA". It matches the Rfam family "Bacterial small subunit ribosomal RNA", at positions 28 to 523 of the family's 1533-position model. The record is from RNAcentral.
GAUGAACGCUGGCGGCGUGCCUAAUACAUGCAAGUCGAGCGAACAGACGAGGAGCUUGCUCCUCUGACGUUAGCGGCGGACGGGUGAGUAACACGUGGAUAACCUACCUAUAAGACUGGGAUAACUUCGGGAAACCGGAGCUAAUACCGGAUAAUAUAUUGAACCGCAUGGUUCAAUAGUGAAAGGCGGUUUUGCUGUCACUUAUAGAUGGAUCCGCGCCGCAUUAGCUAGUUGGUAAGGUAACGGCUUACCAAGGCAACGAUGCGUAGCCGACCUGAGAGGGUGAUCGGCCACACUGGAACUGAGACACGGUCCAGACUCCUACGGGAGGCAGCAGUAGGGAAUCUUCCGCAAUGGGCGAAAGCCUGACGGAGCAACGCCGCGUGAGUGAUGAAGGUCUUCGGAUCGUAAAACUCUGUUAUUAGGGAAGAACAAAUGUGUAAGUAACUAUGCACGUCUUGACGGUACCUAAUCGGAAAGCCACGGCUAACUACGUGCCAGCCGCCGCAGUAA